AGAGUUUGAUCCUGGCUCAGGACGAACGCUGGCGGCGUGCUUAACACAUGCAAGUCACGGGGGCCUUUCGGGGCAACCGGCGAACGGGUGCGUAACACGUGAGCAACCUACCCAAGUGUGGGGGAUAGCCGGGCCAACGCCCGGGUAAUACCGCAUACGCUCUCCGAGGGACAUCCCUUGGUGAGGAAACCUCCGGGGCACUUGGAGGGGCUCGCGGCCUAUCAGCUAGUUGGUGCGGUAACGGCGCACCAAGGCAUUGACGGGUAGCUGGUCUGAGAGGAUGGCCAGCCACAUUGGGACUGCGACACGGCCCAGACUCCUACGGGAGGCAGCAGUGGGGAAUAUUGCGCAAUGGGCGAAAGCCUGACGCAGCGACGCCGCGUGGGGGAUGAAGCAUUUCGGUGUGUAAACCCCUGUUGCUCGGGACGAACAAGCCUUUUCGAGGGCUCUGACGGUACCGGGUGAGGAAGCACCGGCUAACUCUGUGCCAGCAGCCGCGGUAAUA
This 505-nucleotide ribosomal RNA is filed under the name uncultured bacterium. RNAcentral's name for it is "bacterial SSU rRNA". It matches the Rfam family "Bacterial small subunit ribosomal RNA", at positions 8 to 525 of the family's 1533-position model. The record is from RNAcentral.